CCGAGCCCGAGGUGGCCAAGCCUUGCGUGUGACUGUGAACCAGUGCCUGCCGCAGGCCCCGCCCUCAACCUCGUCCUCCAUCGCGUGCUGUGGGGCCUGGGGAGAUGACUGAAUGGCUAGGUGCCUCAGUUUCCCCACCUGUAAACCAGUGUCGGCUGCACGUGGUUGUGAUGAAGACUGAGUGUCGAUAUGAAAAGCACUUGGACAAGUCCGGUCACAGGAAAAUGCGGUGCUGCGGGAGGGGCCACACUUGGAGGAGCUGGAGUGCUGGGGACGCCCACCCUGAGAAUGGACCGCAGUACCAGCCUGCUGUCACCCCACCAACUGGAACCUCACAGAAAAAGCGCAUGUCCUGGCCAAGGGUGAGGAGGAGCAAAGGGCUGGGGACCAGGUAGGGAGGAGGAGUCCCCAGGAGUACUGGCCCAGCUACUGGGUGCAGGAAGUCCUGGCAGGCUAGCCAGGACCUACCAACCAAAAGCCCCACCGGGAAGGACCCCACUGGGGCUCAGGAGCUGGAUGCCAGGUCACCCGGCAGGCCCCAAGCUCACCAGCCCUCUGAACUCAGGCAUCUUGGUCAGGUGGGGACUGUAGCAGUGGAGACGACUGAGUGAGGUGUCCUGUGGGGCACCUGUGUGGCUACACACAGCAGGUGCUGGGCAGGCCUUAGCAGCUCUCACUAGGGCAGGACUACUCCUGGGGUCAGCCAAGGAGGAGCAGCGUGUAGAAGGCCUCCAGGACCCCUUCCAGCUCUGGACAACCUCCCUAAGGGGCAGAAAGGAGCCACAGAAAGGGAAGGAAGGGGAUGGAAUGCCCCCGGGGGAGGAAAGCCUGGCGGGAAGAGCGGUAAGUUCAGGAGUCUGGGAAGAGAGGCAGAAGGUUCCACCCAGCCCUGCCCUUGGGGCUGCUGAGCCUGGACAACCCUGCCACGUGAGUGGCCUCCUCACCUGCAGAGCGGGAUGGAGUGGGGGGCUGCAGAGCGGGAGGGAGUUGGGGGGCUG
RNAcentral lists this long non-coding RNA (998 nucleotides) under Homo sapiens (human). RNAcentral's name for it is "non-protein coding lnc-ADGRB1-6:1". The record is from RNAcentral. Lineage: Eukaryota; Metazoa; Chordata; Mammalia; Primates; Hominidae.